Molecule: ribosomal RNA, 430 nt
Filed under: Pseudomonadota bacterium
Lineage: Bacteria; Pseudomonadati; Pseudomonadota
Description: Proteobacteria bacterium partial 16S ribosomal RNA
Rfam family: Bacterial small subunit ribosomal RNA
Source: RNAcentral
UGGGGAAUAUUGGACAAUGGGGGGAACCCUGAUCCAGCCAUGCCGCGUGUGUGAAGAAGGCCUUAUGGUUGUAAAGCACUUUAAGCGAGGAGGAGGGUACUGGUAUUAAUACUACCAGCUACUGGACGUUACUCGCAGAAUAAGCACCGGCUAACUCUGUGCCAGCAGCCGCGGUAAUACAGAGGGUGCGAGCGUUAAUCGGAUUUACUGGGCGUAAAGCGUGCGUAGGCGGCUAAUUGAGUCGGAUGUGAAAUCCCCGAGCUUAACUUGGGAAUUGCAUUCGAUACUGGUUAGCUAGAGUGUGGGAGAGGAUGGUAGAAUUCCAGGUGUAGCGGUGAAAUGCGUAGAGAUCUGGAGGAAUACCGAUGGCGAAGGCAGCCAUCUGGCCUAACACUGACGCUGAGGUACGAAAGCGUGGGGAGCAAACAGG